UUUUUUUUUGAGAGAUAGGUAGCACGCUAUUCGCUUCGUUUAUUUCAUUUGGAAAUAAACUUAGCUAAAAAAUAUGAAUAAACUAUUUUCUUGUUUGAACAAGUUCUUGAAUUAACUUUAGGCCAGUUAUGAACUUGCGAAGUGCAUUUUUUUUUUUAAUUUUAUGGAGAUGACAUCUAGUUCCUAACAUAUAGUUAAAGGUUGAAUGGUUGAUAUGCAAAAUUUUAAGUUUGAAGUCUAAUUAUUUUAUAUUAAAUAAAUGAAGUCUAAUUAUUUUAUAUUAAAUAAAUGAAAGAGGUAGAUAGCAUGCUACUUCUCUUGCUCAGUCCAAAGCAUUCCUAACUCAGGUGGUAAAAAAUUUAAUGGCUGGUACGUGAAAUUUCAAGUUCGAAGUUUAAUUGUUUCACAUUUUCAGCUAAGUUUAUUAUUAUUUAUUUUUUAAAAAGAAUGAAACGGGUAGCAUACUAUCUUUCUCUUACUGAACAAGGAUAGAAAAGCUUCAAAUACCACCCACAUGGUUCAGCAUUUUCUCACUUUAAUUCCUAUCAUGUGGUUUAAACUGUAUUAUUUUAGUACCCUGUGUUUUUGUUUUUUUCUUUUCAUUAUUCCGUCUGUUAAUUUUUUUUAUUAAAUCAAUGAGAAAGUUAAAGCCAUAGAAUAUUAAAGUAAAAAUUUUGCAAGCUUUAGGAUACUAAAGUGAAUUUCGAUAAACCGCAGGAGAGUAUCUGAAGUUUUUUUUAUAUAUUUUAAUAGAGUUAACAGAUGUGCUGAGAAAAGAGAAAAAUAAAGACACAUGGUAAAGUUAUACACUUUAAAUCAUAAAAUACUAAAAUAAGAAGUGCUAAAUCACAAGAGGUAUAUUUGAAGUUUUUUCAAAAAAAAUAAAGACAUGUGCUGGAC
Molecule: long non-coding RNA, 900 nt
Filed under: Ananas comosus (pineapple)
Lineage: Eukaryota; Viridiplantae; Streptophyta; Magnoliopsida; Poales; Bromeliaceae
Description: long non-coding RNA (ACOM_LNC004745)
Source: RNAcentral